UGAAACAGAGCAAGUAACAUUUAAAUUCCCCUUCUAAGGAAUGAAGGGUUUACGGUGUUUGUUUAUUUCAUUUUAAAGGGAAAUGAGCCGUUGACAAAAUUUCAUAUAUUAUAUAGCCAAACACUGGACAGAUUUCAUAUAAGUGAAAUCCGUGUAAACAGAUGCCCCCUUGAUGUCCGGAGGUGAAAAUUCUUUAUUUUCUUGGAUUCAGAGCUCGGAAAAAUGAGUGUACGUUCUCUUAUGAUUUCUUUGACUAGUUUUCACAUGGCUCGACUUCACGACUUAUUUCUGUAAUA
RNAcentral lists this long non-coding RNA (296 nucleotides) under Setaria viridis. Its description in RNAcentral is "long non-coding RNA (SVIR_LNC008190)". Lineage: Eukaryota; Viridiplantae; Streptophyta; Magnoliopsida; Poales; Poaceae. The record is from RNAcentral.